Regulatory RNA element from Bacillus sp. FJAT-27916, 114 nucleotides. It matches the Rfam family "epsC RNA". NCBI's taxonomy places the organism in Bacteria, Bacillati, Bacillota, Bacilli, Caryophanales, Bacillaceae. The record is from Rfam.
AGGUGAUGCCGCCUGACCUUUAUCAAUGACGGCACUCGGCCAUGCUGUGGGAAGGAUUACCUUCCUUAGAUGCAUGUCGUCAAUAGGAUGGUGUGAGGAAGGGUUAGAUGCCCU